UAUUGAUUGCAUGUGUUUAAACAUAAGACAUUUGCUCCUGUAUCUUUGAUCCAAGUAAUAUAAGACUAUACUUAGGGAAAAGGAAAACAAAGCACGAAUGUGGUUUUGAGCAUUUACAUGUAAAAGCAUAAUACUAAUAACGCUAUCACCUUGGAGUAUAACUCAAAUAGACACCUAGUAUUCUAUAAAAAUCAAUUUAAAGAAAAACAGACACUGUGUUCUGACUUGUUUAAGCCAAAGUUUGCAUUGGAUGUACAUUCGGGGCAUAUUUUGCUUGUAUUGUUCAGGUAUUUAUGUCAUUUGGAAGGAGAUGAUUUUCAGUUGCCAGCAAUGUAACUGAUCUUCCAAACUCGCUGACAAUCUUUAUCACAGAAAUAGAAUUCCAACAAUUAGGUUCCCACAGCCGAUGCUCUGUGGCUUCCCCCCUCUGUAUUCUUGCACCAGUGAGUCAUUUCCCUGUCUACCUUCUGCCUACACAGAGUCCAGGUGCUGACAGCUUCUCAUGGAUAUUGAGCAUGAAACCAAAGUGAUUUACUGAAUCAAGACUACAUUAAAGUAUUUCCUUUUUGUUGACUUU
This is a long non-coding RNA of Neopsephotus bourkii (Bourke's parrot), 577 nucleotides long. RefSeq lists it as uncharacterized. The transcript has 2 exons. NCBI's taxonomy places the organism in Eukaryota, Metazoa, Chordata, Aves, Psittaciformes, Psittacidae. The record is from RefSeq and is a predicted model, not a curated record.